RNAcentral lists this ribosomal RNA (996 nucleotides) under Peiratinae sp. WCW-2003. RNAcentral's name for it is "partial 18S ribosomal RNA". It matches the Rfam family "Eukaryotic small subunit ribosomal RNA", at positions 414 to 1323 of the family's 1831-position model. The record is from RNAcentral. Lineage: Eukaryota; Metazoa; Arthropoda; Insecta; Hemiptera; Reduviidae.
AUCCAAGGAAGGCAGCAGGCACGCAAAUUACCCACUCCCGGCACGGGGAGGUAGUGACAAAAAAUAACGAUACGGGACUCUAUUGAGGCCCCGUAAUCGGAAUGAGUACACUUUAAAUCCUUUAACAAGGAUCCAUUGGAGGGCAAGUCUGGUGCCAGCAGCCGCGGUAAUUCCAGCUCCAAUAGCGUAUAUUAANNNNNNNNNNNNNNNNNNNNNNNNNNCCGCGCUGUCGGUUCGCCGCCUGUCGGUGUAACUGGCAUGUCGCGGCAUGUCCUGUCGGUGGUGAACGGGAUAUCCGGUGNUGUUUAGGCUUAAUUGCCGAAGCAUGUACGUGUGUGUUUCCGUUCGCCGAUCUCUCCUACUCCGGUGCUCUUAAACGAGUGUCGAGGUAGGCCGACACGUUCACUUUGAACAAAUUAGAGUGCUUAAAGCAGGCUGAAAUAUCUGCCUGAAUAGUGGUGCAUGGAAUGAUAAAACAGGACCUCGGUUCUAUUUUGUUGGUUUUAGGAAUAUGAGGUAAUGAUCAAUGUGGACUGGCGGGGGCAUUCCUAUUGCAACUUCUUGGCAAAUGCUUUCGCNNNNNNNNNNUUGGACCGUCGCAAGACGCACUAGAGCGAAAGCAUUUGCCAAGUAUGUCUUAAUUGAUCAAGAACGAAAGUUAGAGGUUCGAAGGCGAUCAGAUACCGCCCUAGUUCUAACCAUAAACGAUGCCAGCCAGCGAUCCGCCGAUGUUCCUUUAAUGACUCGGCGGGGAGCUUCUACUCGGGAAACCAAAGCUUUUGGGUUCCGGGGGAAGUAUGGUUGCAAAGCUGAAACUUAAAGGAAUUGACGGAAGGGCACCACCAGGAGUGGAGCCUGCGGCUUAAUUUGACUCAACACGGGAAACCUCACCAGGCCAGGACAUUGGAAGGAUUGACAGAUUGAUAGCUCUUUCUUGAUUCAGUGGGUAGUGGUGCAUGGCCGUUCUUAGUUGGUGGAUCGAUUUGUCUGGUUAAU